ACCACCUAUAUAAAACUUGUUUCAGGAAAAAACAGAGCAUUUGGUCAAAUUUUACAAAGAUUGAGAGCUUGGCUAGUGAUCCAAAUCCUUUCCUUAUUCAACCCACUAAUCAAGAACACCAACCCCAUUCUAGUUCAGAAAAGGACCAACGCAAGGAUCUUACUUACAAAGUAAUUUUUGGAGUUUUUCCUUAUCCAAAGUUGUCUUGCAAGACAAUAUGAUUUCACAUUGAGCUCCAAACAAUCGCUGGCGUUUUAACCAAAACAACUUAUUGCGCAAUUCAUGCGUUUCUGCUUUCAUGACUACAAAUUUCUUCUUAAUUUCCAUGAAAAAUUGUUCUCUGGACUUUUUAUCAAUAUGAGGUGAUCGUAACACAGUAUACAAGACUCGUGAUUGAGGCAAUCCAAUCUUCGACGCACCUGGAGUAUUAAAAUAGGCAUCUUCUGAUUCACUGCUUUUUCCACCAGCUUGUGAAAAAAUACUUCGCUUCACCAUAGAGAACUCUGAACAACAAACUUGACUCAAUCCCCGGAAGUUGAGAGGAUUGGAAGCUGGACGAAUAGCCCACAUAGUGAAUAGCUGGUUUCAAUGAAGAGAGAGAUUUGUAAGGAGAAGAAAAACAAAGAAGAGGAGGAAACAAAUUCUCAGUUGAUAGAUAUGAGAUGGACUUUG
This 672-nucleotide unclassified non-coding RNA is filed under the name Hevea brasiliensis (rubber tree). The record is from RNAcentral. Lineage: Eukaryota; Viridiplantae; Streptophyta; Magnoliopsida; Malpighiales; Euphorbiaceae.